AUCUUCCACAAUGGGCGAAAGCCUGAUGGAGCAACGCCGCGUGAAGGAAGAAGGCCCUCGGGUUGUAAACUUCUUUUAUUCGGGACGAAGAAGUGACGGUACCGAAUGAAUAAGCCACGGCUAACUACGUGCCAGCAGCCGCGGUAAUACGUAGGUGGCAAGCGUUAUCCGGAUUUACUGGGUGUAAAGGGCGUGUAGGCGGGACUGCAAGUCAGAUGUGAAAACCAUGGGCUCAACCCAUGGCCUGCAUUUGAAACUGUAGUUCUUGAGUGAUGGAGAGGCAGGCGGAAUUCCGUGUGUAGCGGUGAAAUGCGUAGAUAUACGGAGGAACACCAGUGGCGAAGGCGGCCUGCUGGACAUUAACUGACGCUGAGGCGCGAAAGCGUGGGUAGCAAA
Molecule: ribosomal RNA, 396 nt
Filed under: uncultured bacterium
Lineage: Bacteria
Description: bacterial SSU rRNA
Rfam family: Bacterial small subunit ribosomal RNA
Source: RNAcentral